This 956-nucleotide ribosomal RNA is filed under the name Portiera endosymbiont of Bemisia tabaci. Its description in RNAcentral is "bacterial SSU rRNA". It matches the Rfam family "Bacterial small subunit ribosomal RNA", at positions 136 to 1077 of the family's 1533-position model. The record is from RNAcentral. Lineage: Bacteria; Pseudomonadati; Pseudomonadota; Gammaproteobacteria; Johnevansiales (SeqCode); Johnevansiaceae (SeqCode).
GUGGGGAAUAACGUACGGAAACGUACGCUAAUACCGCAUAAUUAUUACGAGAUAAAGCAGGGGCUUGAUAAAAAAAAAUCAACCUUGCGCUUUUAGAAAAUUACAUGCCGGAUUAGCUAGUUGGUAGAGUAAAAGCCUACCAAGGUAACGAUCCGUAGCUGGUCUGAGAGGAUGAUCAGCCACACUGGGACUGAGAAAAGGCCCAGACUCCUACGGGAGGCAGCAGUGGGGAAUAUUGGACAAUGGGGGGAACCCUGAUCCAGUCAUGCCGCGUGUGUGAAGAAGGCCUUUGGGUUGUAAAGCACUUUCAGCGAAGAAGAAAACUUAUAAAAUAAAAAGUUAUAAAAAUGACGGUACUCGCAGAAGAAGCACCGGCUAACUCCGUGCCAGCAGCCGCGGUAAGACGGAGGGUGCAGGCGUUAAUCAGAAUUACUGAGCGUAAAGGGCAUGUAGGUGGUUUGUUAAGCUUUAUGUGAAAGCCCUAUGCUUAACAUAGGAACUGAAUAAAGAACUGACAAACUAGAGUGCAGAAGAGGAAGGUAGAAUUCCAGGUGUAGCGGUGAAAUGCGUAGAUAUCUGGAGGAAUACCAGUUGCGAAGGCGACCUUCUGGGCUGACACUGACACUGAGAUGCGAAAGCGUGGGGAGCAAACAGGAUUAGAUACCCUGGUAGUCCACGCUGUAAACGAUAUCAACUAGCUGUUGGAUUCUUAAAGAAUUUUGUGGCGUAGCUAACGCGAUAAGUUGAUCGCCUGGGGAGUACGGUCGCAAGGCUAAAACUCAAAUGAAUUGACGGGGGCCCGCACAAGCGGUGGAGCAUGUGGUUUAAUUCGAUGCAACGCGCAAAACCUUACCUACUCUUGACAUCCAAAGUACUUUCCAGAGAUGGAAGGGUGCCUUAGGGAACUUUGAGACAGGUGCUGCAUGGCUGUCGUCAGCUCGUGUUGUGAAAUGUUG